ACGCGCAUUCAGGAUUCAUUAAGUUCGGUCGGACUGCAAAAGCUUUCUGUAAGAAACAUGUAAAAGGCGUCGGACGCCGCUGGACCAUGUCCACCUUCCCAAGCCAUGACUGGUGCGCGCAAGAAUCCCUCGUCAUCUCAUGGUCAAUGUGUGUAAGGAGGCCUGUGGUGUGUGUCACUGUAAUGCUGCUGUUCACAGUGGCCCACAGUAAACGCUCCUGUGAUUAUUCAGUGAUCAUCAGCACCUACAAGGCGCUCAUCCUGGUCGAGCUCCAAGCCCUGAAUCUGACUGGUUCGUUUGACAUAUCAAAAGAAAAGGACCACUGUCCUGAGAAGGUACAGCCUGAGAAGGUACAGCCACUCGCAUAUGCUUACAUGUUCGCUGCCUCCUGCGGUAUAUCUAUGGCAGGACUCAGAUCUUCAACUGCUUGAGUAACAGUCGGAUGCAGCAGCAGUCAGACCGCAUGACUGAGGUGGUGAAACAAAUGCAGAGGCUCCUCACACAAGACUGCCUCAAACCGCAAAAAAUGAAAAAAGCAUCUUGUAAACCGGUGAAGAAGCGCAGAGGACGGCUGCGGCAGAGACUGAAGCUGAUGAGGAUGAUCAUUAACAGCUGGCAGAGGCUACUGAGCGUCACGGCUUAUUAAACUACACACUGCUCUCAGUUCAGCUCCAGCACACACUAUUUAAAACACUAUGCACCUUCACCAUUAUUUAUUCACCUUGAAAUACAAAGAGUUUUGUCAGUGAACCGAUAAGCUGAGGUUGUGUCGAAACACAUACAGUUCUCCUUCUGGUUGUAUAGCAUAUGAUUUAUGCUAGUUUUUUUUUAAAGCAAUUCAUGUUACAUAAUACACACAUAUAUAUACGAACACUCACAUCCGGUGCUGCAUAUUGAGCCUAAAAUGACUGUUGUAAAAAGCUGACUAUGUUAAUCAUGUUCUGACAGUAAUUGUACAUUCACAUCAGUACAUUCUGAUGGUAAUUAAACAGAGUAUUUUGUUUUACCGUGGACUUUUUCAAUGGAUUCAUCUUUUAAAUCAUGUUAUUUGUCUGUAUGCCUGUACGUUUGAAGUUUUAGUGUGUGAUUUGGACAGAGGAGUGGUUUGGAAACUGUCAGUCAUUUGAUCAAAUAUCAAUACUGCCAAUAUUUCAGAAACUCAUCACGGAUAUCACUCACUCUGUAAUUAUGCUGCUUUGGUGCUGCUGACUGAUGACCAGGUCUGUUCAUUCAUUUUAUAAAUCCUUGUUUUGUGUAAGUAGAUUUAAAAAAUAAAACUAAAUAAAAAUGUU
RNAcentral lists this long non-coding RNA (1292 nucleotides) under Danio rerio (zebrafish). RNAcentral describes it as "wu:fl05b04 (wu:fl05b04)". The record is from RNAcentral. Lineage: Eukaryota; Metazoa; Chordata; Actinopteri; Cypriniformes; Danionidae.